Molecule: microRNA precursor, 84 nt
Filed under: Bombyx mori (domestic silkworm)
Lineage: Eukaryota; Metazoa; Arthropoda; Insecta; Lepidoptera; Bombycidae
Description: mir-2807 microRNA precursor family
Rfam family: mir-2807 microRNA precursor family
Source: Rfam by way of RNAcentral
UUAAUCCAAAUGAGUAUGAGUUUGGAACGUUUGCAUACGUUUGCCGCUAGAGGUGCUGUUCCAAUUGCAUACAAAUUCGAGUUA